AAGUGUUUUUACUCAUCGUUAUUCCUCUCCUCCUAAUUAGCACCGGUUUGCCAUCAGUUCACGUGACCACGUUUAGAAAAUGCUGCAAAGUCCAACGCAUGUUUGAACAAAUCCCCCAUAAUUCACUGCAUGUCAGAAUUGCGGGACGACUGAGUGGAUGCCGAUUUGGCGUUCCCGCCGGCGGUUAAAGACUCGUUGCGUACACGUGACGCCCCUUCACAUGGAGCAGGUCCUGAAUACUUUGAAUUAAAAAUGCAACAUUGCUGUUGAUCUAGCGAGGCGUCGAUCUGGUAUCUGGGACCCGUCCCCAUAACACCCUUUCAUUCCAGGCCUGUAGUUGGUUUGUGCAGAUUGUGGGCUGGAGGUUUGAUUUUACUUUUAUUCUGUGGAUGUAAAGUUUCUUCUGUCUAGUGUGGCUGGAAAGGGCUUUAAUUUGGUUUGUUUUUAAAUGUGUCUUUUUUUUUAAACGGUCAUAUCAAGGCUCAGCUUGAGAUUUCUCAGAUUCAUGCCUGGCCAAAGUAUGUGAAGCAGGGCAGACUGAAAUGUGAAUAUAAUGAAAUAAUGUUAGAAAAUGUCAAUUUUCUGUUUUACCCCCCCCCCCCCAAAAAAAAACAACCUUUUUGGAUGACAGUCCAGAUGCAGGGGUGACGUUUCGUUUUGCUUCUAGACUGGGUGGAGACUCUAAAAUAUUCAACACCUCAAGAUCGCAUAUUGGUGUCUCAUGCUUGUUUGAUCAGAAACCAUGAAACAACACCGUGCUUGUUUUAGUAGUAGACUACCUUCUGAUAAGUACAGUAAGUCAUUUUUGCACUGCAUAAGCUACAAUAUCAAAGGGGAUGUUGUACAUAGUGGCAUCAGUUUUUUUUUUUAUGUGUCACGCUGUAGUAUUUUGAAGAUAUGUUACAGUGAAAGUAAAAGCUCCUCUAUGCCUUGGAAAUGUGAAGUUGCAUGAACGUGAUGAUUACGGGGUUGGAUGAAGUUGGAACUGCCUCUGGAUCAGUGCUAAAUUGUUUAUAUUCAAUUCUGAUUGGUUGGCGGUCUUUAAAGAAAUAAAUAAAAGGUUCACUAAAAGUAAAGAUCAGUUUGAAAAUAUCCUAUAUUUGAAAAGGAGCCUAAACCUAACUAGUUUAUUUUAAGUCAUUUUUAUUUUGCAAAAUGGUCACAUACAGUCACAAAAUCACCAAACCUCCUCUUGGUCUUUUCUCUGUGUAUGCGUGUAAAUAUAUAUAAGCUGUUGUGGAUCCAUCUUCAUUACUUGGCCUUUUACAGGUAAAACACUUAUUAAACAUGUUGAAAGUAAAACUCCAUGUUUGAGAGUGAGUGUUAUAGUCCCAUUCACAAAUGACAAUGAAAGGGAAAACUAAGUCAUUCUGCCUUGUCAGUGUUUUAUUUGUAUGUUACAAAUAAAGGAAAGUUGUUUUGACUUUUCAA
Molecule: long non-coding RNA, 1431 nt
Organism: Gasterosteus aculeatus aculeatus (three-spined stickleback)
Lineage: Eukaryota; Metazoa; Chordata; Actinopteri; Perciformes; Gasterosteidae
Source: Ensembl